This is a small nucleolar RNA of Otolemur garnettii (small-eared galago), 107 nucleotides long. Lineage: Eukaryota; Metazoa; Chordata; Mammalia; Primates; Galagidae. The record is from Ensembl.
AUUCUUAGAAGAUUAUUUGUAAGUGUGAUGACUGGGUGCUCACACACAUACGUGAGAUUUGCCUCCCUUAAGCCUUGUCAUGAUGUCGGCACAUUGCUCAUCAGACG